This 588-nucleotide ribosomal RNA is filed under the name Salmonella enterica subsp. enterica serovar Muenchen. RNAcentral describes it as "partial 23S ribosomal RNA". It matches the Rfam family "Bacterial large subunit ribosomal RNA", at positions 2261 to 2843 of the family's 2925-position model. Lineage: Bacteria; Pseudomonadati; Pseudomonadota; Gammaproteobacteria; Enterobacterales; Enterobacteriaceae. The record is from RNAcentral. RNAcentral also lists the same sequence under 3 other names.
GUGGGUAGUUUGACUGGGGCGGUCUCCUCCUAAAGAGUAACGGAGGAGCACGAAGGUUGGCUAAUCCUGGUCGGACAUCAGGAGGUUAGUGCAAUGGCAUAAGCCAGCUUGACUGCGAGCGUGACGGCGCGAGCAGGUGCGAAAGCAGGUCAUAGUGAUCCGGUGGUUCUGAAUGGAAGGGCCAUCGCUCAACGGAUAAAAGGUACUCCGGGGAUAACAGGCUGAUACCGCCCAAGAGUUCAUAUCGACGGCGGUGUUUGGCACCUCGAUGUCGGCUCAUCACAUCCUGGGGCUGAAGUAGGUCCCAAGGGUAUGGCUGUUCGCCAUUUAAAGUGGUACGCGAGCUGGGUUUAGAACGUCGUGAGACAGUUCGGUCCCUAUCUGCCGUGGGCGCUGGAGAACUGAGGGGGGCUGCUCCUAGUACGAGAGGACCGGAGUGGACGCAUCACUGGUGUUCGGGUUGUCAUGCCAAUGGCACUGCCCGGUAGCUAAAUGCGGAAGAGAUAAGUGCUGAAAGCAUCUAAGCACGAAACUUGCCCCGAGAUGAGUUCUCCCUGAGACUUUAGGUCUCCUGAAGGAACGUUGAAG